GGGCCUGUAGCUCAGCUGGUUAGAGCGCACGCCUGAUAAGCGUGAGGUCGGUGGUUCGAGUCCACCCAGGCCCA
This is a non-coding RNA of Desulfosporosinus acidiphilus SJ4, 74 nucleotides long. The record is from Rfam. Lineage: Bacteria; Bacillati; Bacillota; Clostridia; Eubacteriales; Desulfitobacteriaceae.